GCCUGGGUGGCUCAGUGGUUGAGCGUCUGGCUUUGGCUCAGGGCAUGAUCCUGGAGUCCUGGGAUCAAGUCCCACAUCAGGCU
This 83-nucleotide transfer RNA is filed under the name Canis lupus familiaris (dog). It matches the Rfam family "tRNA". Rfam says of the family: Transfer RNA (tRNA) molecules are approximately 80 nucleotides in length. Their secondary structure includes four short double-helical elements and three loops (D, anti-codon, and T loops). Further hydrogen bonds mediate the characteristic L-shaped molecular structure. tRNAs have two regions of fundamental functional importance: the anti-codon, which is responsible for specific mRNA codon recognition, and the 3' end, to which the tRNAs corresponding amino acid is attached (by aminoacyl-tRNA synthetases). tRNAs cope with the degeneracy of the genetic code in two manners: having more than one tRNA (with a specific anti-codon) for a particular amino acid; and 'wobble' base-pairing, i.e. permitting non-standard base-pairing at the 3rd anti-codon position. RNAcentral also lists the same sequence under 1 other name. Lineage: Eukaryota; Metazoa; Chordata; Mammalia; Carnivora; Canidae. The record is from Rfam by way of RNAcentral.